AACGAACGCUGGCGGCAUGCCUAACACAUGCAAGUCGAGCGAGCCGUUCGGGGCUCGGCGCGCACGUGUGCGUAACGCGGGGGAACCUCCCCUUAUGUUGGGCAUAACUCGCCGAAUGGGGUGCUAAUAGCGGAUAAUGUCUUCGGACCAAAGAUUUAUCGCCUUUGGAUGGGCCCGCGUUGGAUUAGCUAGUUGGUAGGGUAAACGCCUACCAAGGCGACGAUCCGUAGCUGGUCUGAGAGGAUGAUCAGCCACACUGGGACUGAGACACGGCCCAGACUCCUACGGGAGGCAGCAGUGGGGAAUAUUGGACAAUGGGCGCAAGCCUGAUCCAGCCAUGCCGCGUGAGUGAUGAAGGCCUUAGGGUUGUAAAGCUCUUUUGCCCGGGAAGAUAAUGACAGUACCGGGAGAAUAAGCCCCGGCUAACUCCGUG
RNAcentral lists this ribosomal RNA (433 nucleotides) under uncultured bacterium. Its description in RNAcentral is "partial 16S ribosomal RNA". It matches the Rfam family "Bacterial small subunit ribosomal RNA", at positions 29 to 507 of the family's 1533-position model. The record is from RNAcentral.